Long non-coding RNA from Populus euphratica (Euphrates poplar), 468 nucleotides. RefSeq lists it as uncharacterized. The transcript has 2 exons. The record is from RefSeq and is a predicted model, not a curated record. Lineage: Eukaryota; Viridiplantae; Streptophyta; Magnoliopsida; Malpighiales; Salicaceae.
CAUUUUUUUUUUUUUUGGAAAAGCAAAUUGAUAAUUAUGCUUUCAAGUGAAUAACGAAAUGUACCUUAAGAGUAUAGUAAUCUCGUUUCCGUUAAAGUUUAUCACAAGGAUAUCACUCUGACCAUCAAACCAAAAAAAAAUGAAAAAGAAAAGAAAUGAACAGCUUUAAUGUUUACAUUCUCCAUUGCAUCUUUCAUGAGGCUGAUUGUAGAAGAAAUAUCAAAACGCGGUGAUGGCAGUGUCUAGAGCAGAAGAUACGAUUUUGUUUUUCUUCCAAUAUUUAAGAUUGAAACAAGCUAGGGCGCAAAAUGCAGAUAUGCAUUCAUAGCCCGCAUCGCAUGUCACCAUUGAUAACACAGUUGAGGAAGAGUCAUGAUUUAGCAGCGGGUGACAUCCAAUCCAGUUUUUCAUAAAUUGUGAUUCUAUUCUCCAUGUCUCCCUGGCUUUAGUAUAUCUGAUAAACAGAGA